RNAcentral lists this long non-coding RNA (224 nucleotides) under Gossypium barbadense (sea-island cotton). RNAcentral's name for it is "long non-coding RNA (GBAR_LNC023486)". Lineage: Eukaryota; Viridiplantae; Streptophyta; Magnoliopsida; Malvales; Malvaceae. The record is from RNAcentral.
UUGUUUAUAUACAUUGUUAUUUUAUAUGAUUGUAGGACUAACGUUUAUUUAUUAUUGUUGCUAUUGCUCAUAUCAUUUUAUACUUUUGUAUUCAUUAUGAUUUUGCCAUGAAUAACAACAAUGCAAAUUGCUUUCACAUUUUUUUACUAUGAUUUUAGUGUUUUAUUUUACUCGACAUAACAUAAUUUGUUUUGAAUAAAUAAUAUUUCGUGUUUAGAUUCGAG